Molecule: long non-coding RNA, 2742 nt
Organism: Macaca mulatta (Rhesus monkey)
Lineage: Eukaryota; Metazoa; Chordata; Mammalia; Primates; Cercopithecidae
Source: Ensembl
UCUCUCCCAUCACCCAGGCGCGGCCGUCUCCCACUCCGUCUCAUCCCUUCACUGAGCCCCUUUCUGGUGGCCUCAGAUAUACCCCCAGCGUUUUGUUUUGUUUUGUUUUUUGUUGUUGUUGUUGUUGAGACACAAUCUUGCUCUGUUGCCCGGGCUGGAGUGCGUGAUCUCGGCUCACUGCAACCUCCGCCUCCCGGGUUCAAGUGAUUCUCCUGCCUCAGCCUCCCAAGUAGCUGGGAUUACAGGCACCCACCACUGCGCCCGGCUAAUUUUUGUAUUUUUAGUAGAGAUGGGGCUUUGCCAUGUUGGCCAGGCUGGUUUCGAACUCCUGACCUCAGGUGAUCCACCAACCUUGGCCUCCCAAAGUGCUGGGAUUACAGGUGUGAGUCACUGUGCCCACCUCCCCCAGCCAGGGUUUUUCUACAUCACAAUGGUGUGACCCAAAACCUUCCCAGGAGUGGAACGGGCUGGGACCACCAGCCAGGUCUCACCCAGGGACCACCCUGGGAACCCCAGGCACCUGUACCCACCUCACUCACUGCCUCUGACCAGGCACAGGAGCCAAGCUCCAUGCACCAAGGAUGGAAGAGAAAGCCUGGGAGACGUUGUCUCAGCAGAAUUUCUGUCUUAGAGGCCGGACCUCUCUGGCUAUGACGCCCCAGCAACUUUUAUAAAAAGUUACCUCAGUGCUGUGCUGCUCUCAGAGCUGCUGGGAUCAAAAGAACAGCUUUACUCAGGGGGAAAAGAUGAGGGACCAAAAUUGUCAGGAUAUGUACAGCCAGUUGGACAGCGCAGCUCUGCUGAGCUGGAUAUUUGGGUUUGGUUUUGUUGCGCCUUUUUUUUUCCUUGCUGAGAUGCUUGGAGGAGGUACUGUGGGGUGCAGACAGUGCCGCUCGGCAGGAGGAGGGAAGGAGAGGCCGCGGCUUCCUGUGAAAGAGCCGGCAGAAACCACCUACGCUGAUAACAGGUCCCGAGUUCAGACUCCUGCCUUAGCAGUUAAAGGCAGUGAUUUACUCUUCCAUCAGCAAUUGACAUUUGAGAAGACUACUAGUAGUCCUCAACGCUUUGAAACCAAUUACAUCUUUUAAACCUUUGCUCAUAUGGUACGUAACAAUAGUUUCUCAUUUUUAACACAUUUGUUUCUGGAAAGAAUGAACAUUUUUACUAUGUUUCUUAGUCGUUGGCAUUUCAAAUUUUAUAUAUAUAUAUAUAAUCUUUUGUCCAUUUUCCUAUUGAGGUCUGCCGUAGUCCAUUUUGUGUUGCUAUAAAGGAAUACCUGAGACUGGGUAAUUUGAAAAUACAAUAGGCUUAUUUGGCUUAGGGUUCUGCGGGCUGGAAGAUCGGGCAUCUGGAGAGAGCCUCAGGCUGCUUCCACUCAUGGCAGAGGUGAAGGGGAACUGGAGUACAGGGAUCACGUGGAGAGAGAGGAGGUAAAAGAGACAGGGAAGGUACCAGGCUCUUCCUGACAACCAGCUCUGCCAGGAACUAACAGGGGGAUGACUCACUUGACCCAGGGAGGGCUAUAAUCUAUUUAUGAGGAAUCUGCCCUCCUGACUCAAACACCUUUCACUGGGCCCCACCUCCCAAGACCCCCACAGUACAGAUUAAAUUUCAACAUGAGAUUUGGAGAGGUCAAACACCCAAACUAUAGCAGGCCCUUAAUGUUUCUCUUAUGAAUAUAAGUAAGAACCCUUCACAUAAUUUAUUAUUUGUCUUUGACAGUUGUAAGCUUUGCCUUUUCAUUGUAGGAUCCUUUUGAUGUACUGACGUUUUUAAAAUAUAUAUAGCCAAAUCUGUUGUAAAUAAAUAUCCAGAAGUCACAAGGAACUUAAACAAAUUAAUAAGCAAAAAACAAGCAACCCCAUUUAAAAAUGGGCAAAGGACAUGAAGAGACACUUCUCAAAAGAAGCCAUAUGCACAGCCAACAAGCAUAUGAAAAUAUGCUCAACAUCACUAAUCAUUCCAUCACUUUCAUGCCUAGAAUGCCCUUUACACCUAGAGGCAAGCAUUGACUUAAAUUUUCUCUUCUAAUUUUAAUAUGUUUUUUCCCCUAUGUCCCCUUUGCUUUGUGGUAUGAAUUUGGGUCCUAAACUGUCUAUUUUUUCACAAAGAAAAAGCCAUUUUUCCUACUGAUAUGUAUUCAGGGACCCCUCCCUCCUACUGAGCUGCCAUCCUGCCUGUAUAAAGGGUGGUUAUUUGGGUGACCCUCAAUAGAUCUCCCACCUCUCUGAACAGUGGCACUAUCAUGGUCAGUAAUUAUUUACGAUAUGUUCUGCCAUAUGUUUAAGCAAGUCCCCUCACUCAACUCCUCUGUCAUAAUUCUUAGCUAUUUUCACCUAUAUAUAAUUUCUAGAUAAACUUAAAAUUUAUUUUUUCAAGUCUUUUCGUCCUCCAAAAAAAAAAAAAAACCGGUUUAAGGAAAAGUUAAACUUCUAAGUUAGUGUUGGAAGAACCAACAUCUUCACAAUCUCCAGUUUUCUCCUUUCCUGCUGUGAUUCAGGCUCUCCCUGCAUGUGCUGAGCGGUGUCUGGGUGGGACAUGUGGGUCAUGGGGGAGCACUCGGCCUUGCCUUCCCAGCAGGGUUUUUACCGCUGGGGGAAGAAUAUGCCCAUGCUGGCUUUGAGGGCUCCCUGAAGCUGUGGGGUUCUCUGACAGAGCCGCGAGGAUGAGAUCCAUACAGCAAUUAUUCAGCUAAUUUACAAUCCGAGUGAACAUUUUGAUCUGAAUUAAUUUGGUAAAUUG